This 72-nucleotide transfer RNA is filed under the name Camelus bactrianus (Bactrian camel). It matches the Rfam family "tRNA". Rfam says of the family: Transfer RNA (tRNA) molecules are approximately 80 nucleotides in length. Their secondary structure includes four short double-helical elements and three loops (D, anti-codon, and T loops). Lineage: Eukaryota; Metazoa; Chordata; Mammalia; Artiodactyla; Camelidae. RNAcentral also lists the same sequence under 2 other names. The record is from Rfam by way of RNAcentral.
GAGGGUAUAGCUCAGUGGUAGAGCAUAUGCCUAGCAUGCAUGAGGUCCUGGGUUCAACCCCCAGUACCUCCA